UUCACAAUAAUAUAAUAAAUAAAUAAACAAAAAACCUUCCAUACCCAUUUUUCAAAUAAAAUCCAAGAAGUAGAGGAAUCAUCAAAACUUCCAUCUCCGCGGGAUAUCCAACAUCAGAUUGAUCUCAUUUCUGGAUUAAAAUUACCGAAUCUGCCUCAUUACAAGAUGAGUCCAAAGGAGAGUGAAAACUUCCAAGACCAGGUGGAACUUGCUUACAACAAUAUUGCAGCAAGCAACUUGGCAAAGCAGCACAUGGAUGUUUUCAAACAGGUACAACAAUACCUUACAGAAAUCGAUGACAAAUAUAAAGCUAUAGCUGAUAAAUAUAGGCGUUUCAAGUCCUUCAAUGUCGGUGGCCAAGUUAUGGUGUAUUUACGCAAGGAGCGUGGUGGAGGACAAAAAAAGCUUGACGCAAAGAAUAUUGGUCCAUUUCGGAUCAUUCAGAAGAUCAAUGACAAUACUUAUGUUCUUAACCUCCCACAUGAAAUGAAAAUUUUCAAGACGUUUAAUGUGGCAGAUCUAUUUCAGUACUACCCUGCUGAUAACAACUCGAAGACGAGUUCUUUACAAGUGGAAGGGAAUGACACGGAGCAACUAGCAUUGGAUUUUAUGGCAGACUUGGACCGGGGCUAAUUUUUAUAUUUUAAUUAUUAUUUUUGGAUAUUUUGGGUAUUUUUAUAAUUUUGCAUAUUAGGAUUUUAGACUCCUAUUAGGAUUAGGAUUAUUCUUGCAUAUUAGGAUUUUAUUUCUAUUGUAAAUAGCCUCCCUUGGCUAUUAGGAUUUUAGACUCCUAUUAGGAUUAGAAUUAUUUUGCAUAUUACGAUUUUAUUUCUAUUAUAAAUAGCCUCCUUGGCUAUUAGAAAUUGACUUUCCAAUUUUAAGAAAUUUCUAAAUUGUCUUAUACCAGCAAGGCCCACCAAAACAUUUUUAUCCAUGCGAGAUCAUUUUUUUUUUUAAAAAGACCAUUUGAAUUCUUGUUUCAUGUUCUUAUCCAUCUAAAUAAAUCGAGAUUCUCAAAAUUAAUGACAAAUAACGAAUAUUCACAACAAUAUAAUAAAUAAAUAAACAAAAAACCUUCCAUACCCAUUUUUCAAAUAAAAUCCAAGAAGUGAACACAGAAAAAUCAGUAUUACAACGAGAAGUGCAGUAAGUUGAAACUAACAAGAACAGGCACAUAAUUUUUUUCAUCUCGCUAAUCUCUAAAUCAUACCCAGAAAUGAUAUCAAUCUUAGAUCCUUUGAACACGGCAGCAUCAGCACCGUUGGAUUUUUUGUCACCACCCUCUAAUGCCNN
Molecule: long non-coding RNA, 1293 nt
Filed under: Manihot esculenta (cassava)
Lineage: Eukaryota; Viridiplantae; Streptophyta; Magnoliopsida; Malpighiales; Euphorbiaceae
Description: long non-coding RNA (MESC_LNC000660)
Source: RNAcentral